UCCCUGGUAGUCCAGUGGUUAAGACUCUGUACUGCCAACACAGGGGGCCUGGGUUCAAUCCCUGAUCAAGGGA
RNAcentral lists this transfer RNA (73 nucleotides) under Ovis aries (sheep). It matches the Rfam family "tRNA". Rfam says of the family: Transfer RNA (tRNA) molecules are approximately 80 nucleotides in length. Their secondary structure includes four short double-helical elements and three loops (D, anti-codon, and T loops). The record is from Rfam by way of RNAcentral. Lineage: Eukaryota; Metazoa; Chordata; Mammalia; Artiodactyla; Bovidae.